UGGGGAAUAUUGGUCAAUGGAGGAAACCCUGAACCAGCCAAGUCGCGUGAAGGAUGACGGCCCUAUGGUUUGUAAACUCCUUUAGUAGGCGAGAAAGGAUAGGUACGUGUACCUAUUAGAAAGUAGCCUAAGAAUAAGUAUCGGCUAACUCCGUGCCAGCAGCCGCGGUAAUACGGAGGAUACGAGCGUUAUCCGGAUUUAUUGGGUGUAAAGGGUGCGUAGGUGGCUGAUUAAGUCAGUGGUGAAAAGCUAUGGCUCAACCAUAGUCUUGCCGUUGAUACUGGUUAGCUAGAGUGUGGAUGAUGUAGGCGGAACGUGUAGUGUAGCGGUGAAAUGCGUAGAGAUUACGCAGAACACCGAUUGCGAAGGCAGCUUACAAAACUACUACUGACGCUGAGGCACGAAAGCGUGGGUAUCAAACAGG
RNAcentral lists this ribosomal RNA (424 nucleotides) under Bacteroidota bacterium. Its description in RNAcentral is "Bacteroidetes bacterium partial 16S ribosomal RNA". It matches the Rfam family "Bacterial small subunit ribosomal RNA", at positions 355 to 776 of the family's 1533-position model. The record is from RNAcentral. Lineage: Bacteria; Pseudomonadati; Bacteroidota.